This 21-nucleotide non-coding RNA is filed under the name Caenorhabditis elegans. Lineage: Eukaryota; Metazoa; Nematoda; Chromadorea; Rhabditida; Rhabditidae. The record is from RNAcentral.
UCGGAUACUCGUAAUUUUCCU